This 1049-nucleotide ribosomal RNA is filed under the name Histeridae sp. BMNH 1274329. RNAcentral describes it as "16S ribosomal RNA". The stretch from base 625 to 1049 matches the Rfam family "Bacterial large subunit ribosomal RNA", at positions 2048 to 2700 of the family's 2925-position model. The record is from RNAcentral. Lineage: Eukaryota; Metazoa; Arthropoda; Insecta; Coleoptera; Histeridae.
CCCGAAUUAGAAAGAUUUACUUAUGAAUAAAUAUUAUUGUGGCAUAAACAUUUAAAAUUCUUAGGUGGUAGUGAAACGUUAUUCGUUUUUUAAUAUAUCUGGUUUCUUAAGAAAUAAAUUUAAUUUACUUGCUAAGUAAAAUUUAUCUUAUUAUUUGGUUAACUUUAUUUAGUAUUCAUAUUUAAGGGGAUAAGCUUUUAAAUAUAUUAUUUUGACUAACUGGUUGAUUCUUAUUAGUAGGGUUAGAAUUUCCUAUCAUUAUAGUAUGUUAUAAUUAUACGGGGCUAUGAUUUGAUUUUUGUUAGUUAAGAUUAUUUAUUGAGAAUUUAUAUUUAAUAAGGGAUUAUAAGAUAUGAUGAUUAAAUUAGUAAAUUUAUAUGUUUAAUUAAAUUAUGAGAAAUAGGUUAAAAUAAGGAAUUCGGCAAAUAAAUUUCUUGCCUGUUUAUUAAAAACAUGUCCUUUUGAUAAUAAUUUAAGGUCUAGCCUGCCCACUGAGGUUUUAAAAGGCUGCGGUAUUUUGACCGUACAAAGGUAGCAUAAUCAUUAGUUUUUUAAUUAAAAGCUUGUAUGAACGGCUGGACAAAGGAAUAGCUGUCUCAUUUUAAUUUUAGGUCGAAAUUAAUUUUUAAGUUAAAAAGCUUAAAUAAUUCUUGAAGACGAGAAGACCCUAUAGAGUUUUACAUAGAAAUGUUGCUGAGUAAUUAGGAAUUUCUGUUUUAAGCAUAUGUUAUGUUUUGUUGGGGUGACAGGGAAAUUUAUAUAACUUUCUUUAUUUUUUAACAUUGAUAUAUGAGCACUUGAUCCGAUUAUUUCGAUUAAAAGAUUAAAUUACCUUAGGGAUAACAGCGUAAUUUCUUUAGAGAGUUCUUAUCGAAAUAGAAGUUUGCGACCUCGAUGUUGGAUUAAAAUUUACUAUUGGUGUAGCAGCUAAUAAGUUUGGGUCUGUUCGACCCUUAAAAUUUUACAUGAUCUGAGUUUAGACCGGCGUGAGCCAGGUUGGUUUCUAUCUCUAGAAUAAGAUUUUUCCCAGUACGAAAGGACCGGAGAAA